GUAGGGAAUCUUCCACAAUGGACGAAAGUCUGAUGGAGCAACGCCGCGUGAGUGAAGAAGGGUUUCGGCUCGUAAAACUCUGUUGUUAAAGAAGAACAUAUCUGAGAGUAACUGUUCAGGUAUUGACGGUAUUUAACCAGAAAGCCACGGCUAACUACGUGCCAGCAGCCGCGGUAAUACGUAGGUGGCAAGCGUUGUCCGGAUUUAUUGGGCGUAAAGCGAGCGCAGGCGGUUUUUUAAGUCUGAUGUGAAAGCCUUCGGCGCAACCGAAGAAGUGCAUCGGAAACUGGGAAACUUGAGUGCAGAAGAGGACAGUGGAACUCCAUGUGUAGCGGUGAAAUGCGUAGAUAUAUGGAAGAACACCAGUGGCGAAGGCGGCUGUCUGGUCUGUAACUGACGCUGAGGCUCGAAAGUAUGGGUAGCAAACAGGAUUAGAAACCCGUGUAGUCC
RNAcentral lists this ribosomal RNA (450 nucleotides) under uncultured bacterium. Its description in RNAcentral is "partial 16S ribosomal RNA". It matches the Rfam family "Bacterial small subunit ribosomal RNA", at positions 354 to 796 of the family's 1533-position model. The record is from RNAcentral.